GUUACUUUGGUGAUCCUCUGACUUUUCCUUUAGUGCCACCAUUAGGUUGACAUUUGAGGUUUGACAGUGUAAU
This is a long non-coding RNA of Sander lucioperca (pikeperch), 73 nucleotides long. RefSeq lists it as uncharacterized. The record is from RefSeq and is a predicted model, not a curated record. Lineage: Eukaryota; Metazoa; Chordata; Actinopteri; Perciformes; Percidae. The transcript has 3 exons.